This 460-nucleotide ribosomal RNA is filed under the name uncultured bacterium. RNAcentral describes it as "bacterial SSU rRNA". It matches the Rfam family "Bacterial small subunit ribosomal RNA", at positions 29 to 507 of the family's 1533-position model. The record is from RNAcentral.
AAUGAACGUUGGCGGCGUGGAUUAGGCAUGCAAGUCGAGCGCUCAUAGCAAUAUGGGAGCGGCGAACGGCGUAGUAAUAUGUAGGAACGUACCCUCGGGUCGGGGUUAGCCAUGGGAAACUGUGGGUAAUACCCGAUAAUCUCUGCGGAGCAAAGGUGUGAUUCCGCCUGAGGAGCGGCCUACACGAUAUUAGCUAGUUGGUAGGGUAAUGGCCUACCAAGGCUACGAUGUCUAGGGGGUGUGAGAGCAUGGCCCCCACGACCGGAACUGAGAUACUGUCCGGACACCUACGGGUGGCUGCAGUCGAGAAUCUUCCGCAAUGGACGAAAGUCUGACGGAGCGACGCCGCGUGCGGGAUGAAGGCCCUUGGGUUGUAAACCGCUGUCAGAGGGGAUGAAAUCUUCGGAGGUGCUCCUCCAAAGUUGACAGAGCCUCAAAGGAAGCACGGGCUAAGUACGUG